RNAcentral lists this ribosomal RNA (966 nucleotides) under Clostridium perfringens. RNAcentral's name for it is "partial 23S ribosomal RNA". It matches the Rfam family "Bacterial large subunit ribosomal RNA", at positions 1 to 973 of the family's 2925-position model. The record is from RNAcentral. Lineage: Bacteria; Bacillati; Bacillota; Clostridia; Eubacteriales; Clostridiaceae.
GGUCAAGCUACAAAGGGCGCAUGGUGAAUGCCUUGGCAUCAGGAGCCGAUGAAGGACGUGAUAAGCUGCGAUAAGCUUCGGGUAGGCGCACAUAGCCUGAGAUCCGAAGAUCUCCGAAUGAGGAAACUCACAUGGGAAACCCCAUGUAUCAUUAAGUGAAUACAUAGCUUAAUGAAGGUAACCCAGGGAACUGAAACAUCUAAGUACCUGGAGGAAGAGAAAGAAAAAUCGAUUUUCUUAGUAGCGGCGAGCGAAAGGGAAAGAGCCCAAACCGGAAACUUGUUUCCGGGGUUGUGGACAUAACAUAAAAGUGGAGGCUAUUGUAACUGAAGAGAACUGGAAAGUUCCACCGUAGAAGGUAAUAGUCCUGUAAGUGAAACGAGAAGACCACGAGUUAUGAUCCAGAGUACCACGAGACACGUGAAACCUUGUGGGAAGCAGGGAGGACCACCUCCCAAGGCUAAAUACUACCUGAUGACCGAUAGUGAAGCAGUACCGUGAGGGAAAGGUGAAAAGAACCCCGGGAGGGGAGUGAAAUAGAACCUGAAACCGUGUGCCUACAACCGCUCAGAGCCCCUUAUGAGGGUGAUGAGGUGCUUUUUGUAGAACGAGCCAACGAGUUACGGUAUGUAGCAAGGUUAAGUACUUAAGGUACGGAGCCGAAGGGAAACCGAGUCUGAAUAGGGCGACUAGUUGCAUGCCGUAGACCCGAAACCGGGUGACCUAUCCAUGGCCAGGUUGAAGCGAGGGUAAAACCUCGUGGAGGACCGAACCACGUUGCUGUUGAAAAAGCAUGGGAUGAGCUGUGGAUAGCGGAGAAAUUCCAAUCGAACCCGGAGAUAGCUGGUUCUCUCCGAAAUAGCUUUAGGGCUAGCGUCGAGUAUGAGUAGUGGAGGUAGAGCACUGAAUGGGCUAGGGGGCAUAGCGCUUACCGAACCUUAUCAAACUCCGAAUGCCACAUACUUU